AGCUCCAAUAGCGUAUAUUAAAGUUGUUGCAGUUAAAAAGCUCGUAGUUGGAUUUCGGGACGGAUCGGUUGGUCGGCCGCAAGGUCUGUUACUGACCGGUCUGUUCUUCUUCGCAAAGCCUGCUCGUGCUCUUCAUUGAGUGCGUGUAGGAUUUACGACGUUUACUUUGAAAAAAUUAGAGUGUUCAAGGCAGGCUUUGAGGCUUGAAUACAUGAGCAUGGAAUAAUGGAAUAGGACCUCGGUCCCUAUUUCGUUGGUUUUACGGACCGAAGUAAUGAUUAAGAGGGACAAUUGGGGGCAUCCGUAUUUCGUAGUCAGAGGUGAAAUUCUUGGACCUACGAAAGACGAACAACUGCGAAAGCAUUUGCCAAGAGUGUUUUCAUUAAUCAAGAACGAAAGU
RNAcentral lists this ribosomal RNA (400 nucleotides) under phytoplankton environmental sample. RNAcentral describes it as "partial small subunit ribosomal RNA". It matches the Rfam family "Eukaryotic small subunit ribosomal RNA", at positions 587 to 990 of the family's 1831-position model. The record is from RNAcentral.